This 195-nucleotide non-coding RNA is filed under the name Angelakisella sp. RNAcentral describes it as "6S RNA". It matches the Rfam family "6S / SsrS RNA". Rfam says of the family: E. coli 6S RNA was the first non coding RNA to be sequenced, but its function was unknown until recently. It consists of 184 nucleotides that fold into an extended hairpin structure with a large single-stranded internal bulge. The record is from RNAcentral. Lineage: Bacteria; Bacillati; Bacillota; Clostridia; Eubacteriales; Oscillospiraceae.
GCCACCCUGCUGUGUGCGUCAGUGCCGCUUGAUAUGAUCCAACACAUUUUAUUAGGGAGCCCGAUCUCCGUGAGGCCGGAUUGCAGACCUCCCAUCCCACCGGGGUGGAAGAAGGGAGCGUGAAAGCCCGGGAGGCUACCCACCUGUCACACAAGACGGGUUUUAUUGGCGGCACAACGGCAUGGCGGGGGUGUU